AAGGGAUGACAAUGUUGUGCUUA
This 23-nucleotide non-coding RNA is filed under the name Drosophila melanogaster (fruit fly). Lineage: Eukaryota; Metazoa; Arthropoda; Insecta; Diptera; Drosophilidae. The record is from RNAcentral.